RNAcentral lists this ribosomal RNA (217 nucleotides) under uncultured bacterium. Its description in RNAcentral is "partial 16S ribosomal RNA". It matches the Rfam family "Bacterial small subunit ribosomal RNA", at positions 30 to 244 of the family's 1533-position model. The record is from RNAcentral.
AUUGAACGCUGGCGGCAGGCCUAACACAUGCAAGUCGAGCGGCAGCACGGGUACUUGUACCUGGUGGCGAGCGGCGGACGGGUGAGUAAUGCCUAGGAAUCUGCCUGGUAGUGGGGGAUAACGCUCGGAAACGGACGCUAAUACCGCAUACGUCCUACGGGAGAAAGCAGGGACCGUUCGGGCCGUUGCGCUAUCAGAUGAGCCUAGGUCGGAUUAG